This 295-nucleotide ribosomal RNA is filed under the name uncultured soil bacterium. RNAcentral describes it as "partial 16S ribosomal RNA". It matches the Rfam family "Bacterial small subunit ribosomal RNA", at positions 26 to 322 of the family's 1533-position model. The record is from RNAcentral.
AGAUUGAACGCUGGCGGCAGGCCUAACACAUGCAAGUCGAGCGGUAGAGAGGUGCUUGCACCUCUUGAGAGCGGCGGACGGGUGAGUAAUGCCUAGGAAUCUGCCUAGUGGUGGGGGAUAACGUUCGGAAACGGACGCUAAUACCGCAUACGUCCUACGGGAGAAAGCGGGGGACCGUUCGGGCCUCGCGCCAUUAGAUGAGCCUAGGUCGGAUUAGCUAGUUGGUGAGGUAAUGGCUCACCAAGGCGACGAUCCGUAACUGGUCUGAGAGGAUGAUCAGUCACACUGGAACUGA